CUAAAAACCUAGCCCAACAAACAUGAAUUUUACCAAAUUAACUAAACCCCUCUUAACAAACCAUUUUAAUAUUCUAGUAAAGGAGAUUGAAAAACUUAUUUGGAGCUAUAAAAACAGUACCGCAAGGGAACGGUGAAAUAUUAUGAAAAACUUCAAGCAGCAAAAAGUAAAGAUUACCUCUUGUACCUUUCGCAUCAUGGUUUAACUAGUCUAACCAAGCAAAACGUAUUUAAGUUUGACUUCCCGAAACUAAGUGAGCUACUUCAGGGCAGCUAGAAGAGCAAACCCGUCUCUGUAGCAAAAGAGUGGGACGACCCUCAAGUAGUGGUGACAGACCUAACGAACUUAGUGAUAGCUGGUUGCUCAAGAAACGGAUUUAAGUCCAACCUGAAAGUUUUAUAACCUAAGUUCAUCAAAACAAUCACCUAGCUUUCAGCGUAAUUCAAAUAAGGUACAGCCUAUUUGAAACAGGAUACAACCUAGCCUAGUGGAUAAGAUCAGCCUAACAUACAAUCAAGUGGGCCUAAAAGCAGCCACCUUUAAUACAGCGUCAAAGCUAAAUUGUAACUGAGCCCAAUUACUUAACCCAUAUCUUAAUCCCCUGCCAAUACUGAGUAAUUCUAUAAUAUUAUAGAAAUUUUUAUGUUAAAACUAGUAACAAGAAGAAGAUUCUUCUCUUAAAUGUACAUAUAAAUCAGAAAAGACAAGCUACUGAUGCUUAACACCUCUGAGCAUAAAGUAGUAACUAACCAAGAAAACUCUACUUUUACUGGUGUUAAUCUAACACAAGAACAUUCUAAGAAAGA
This 806-nucleotide ribosomal RNA is filed under the name Bufo bufo (common toad). RNAcentral's name for it is "partial 16S ribosomal RNA". The stretch from base 165 to 806 matches the Rfam family "Bacterial large subunit ribosomal RNA", at positions 568 to 1681 of the family's 2925-position model. The record is from RNAcentral. Lineage: Eukaryota; Metazoa; Chordata; Amphibia; Anura; Bufonidae.